CUCGGAGUUUGAUCCUGGCUCAGGAUGAACGCUAGCGGCAGGCUUAACACAUGCAAGUCGAGGGGUAUAGUUCUUCGGAGCUAGAGACCGGCGCACGGGUGCGUAACGCGUAUGCAAUCUACCUUUUACAGAGGGAUAGCCCAGAGAAAUUUGGAUUAAUACCUCAUAGUAUGCAGAGUUGGCAUCAACACUGCAUUAAAGUCACAACGGUAAAGAUGAGCAUGCGUCCCAUUAGCUUGUUGGUAAGGUAACGGCUUACCAAGGCAACGAUGGGU
RNAcentral lists this ribosomal RNA (275 nucleotides) under uncultured Flavobacterium sp. RNAcentral describes it as "partial 16S ribosomal RNA". It matches the Rfam family "Bacterial small subunit ribosomal RNA", at positions 1 to 284 of the family's 1533-position model. The record is from RNAcentral. Lineage: Bacteria; Pseudomonadati; Bacteroidota; Flavobacteriia; Flavobacteriales; Flavobacteriaceae.